This 78-nucleotide transfer RNA is filed under the name Spinibarbus hollandi. RNAcentral describes it as "tRNA-Lys". Lineage: Eukaryota; Metazoa; Chordata; Actinopteri; Cypriniformes; Cyprinidae. The record is from RNAcentral.
CUAUGGGAAGCUAAAUUAUUGGACAAAGCGCUGGCCUUUUAAGCCAGAGACUGGUGACUUCCGACCACCCCCAAUGAA